The submitters of this non-coding RNA (588 nucleotides) gave its source as unclassified sequences. The record is from Rfam.
ACGGCUAUUUUCAAAUAUGAUUACCUCGGUGAAGAGUGAUUUUUCAGUCAUGCCGAGAUGCAAUGGUGACGAGAUAGGCUUGUUCGAGAUAUUGGAUAAGCCGAUUCUUUCUAGUGGGAGUGAUUCCAUUGGUGAAGACGGAAACCAUCAACAAUGCCUUGCAGUGUAUCAUCAUAGAGAAGUCAAAUGCAGAAUCCUUGUGGUCAGUGAUUAAUAGACGUCUGCGGUGCAGAAAUAAUCCAGUGAUGUGAGUGGUGUGAGAGACUACGGACUAACUGGAAAUUCUCAAUAAGCUGAUUUGCCUUGAAUCCGAGAAAUCGGAGUAUAACACAAGAGGUUCGUUAAAGUAGCGGUAUGGCAAGUUCUUAAAUAAGCAAUUUCGAUAUGAGCAAUGCAAAGGGUGCAAAAUAGGCGAAAACAUUAUCUGAAAGAACCGUGAAAUUUAUGGGUAUCAAUCCCAUGUGUGCUUUGACAGUGGUAGGAAGCCAAGAGUCGCUCUCAGAAGCUCAGACCUAUCAUCACAGUGGCAGAAUAUGACUUUUACCAUGAUUGAAUAAGGUGAAGACCUAAUUGUGUUUGAAAAAAUGU